AUUGAACGCUGGCGGCAGGCCUAACACAUGCAAGUCGAGCGGACGAGAGGAGCUUGCUCCUCGAUUCAGCGGCGGACGGGUGAGUAAUGCCUAGGAAUCUGCCCAGUAGUGGGGGACAACGUUUCGAAAGGAACGCUAAUACCGCAUACGUCCUACGGGAGAAAGUGGGGGAUCUUCGGACCUCACGCUAUUGGAUGAGCCUAGGUCGGAUUAGCUAGUUGGUAGGGUAAAGGCCUACAAGGCGACGAUCCGUAACUGGUCUGAGAGGAUGAUCAGUCACACUGGAACUGAGACACGGUCCAGACUCCUACGGGAGGCAGCAGUGGGGAAUAUUGGACAAUGGGCGCAAGCCUGAUCCAGCCAUGCCGCGUGUGUGAAGAAGGCCCUCGGGUCGUAAAGCACUUUAAGUUGGGAGGAAGGGCUUACAGCAAAUACCUGUGAGUUUUGACGUUACCGACAGAAUAAGCGCCGGCUAACUUCGUGCCAGCAGCCGCAGUAA
This 499-nucleotide ribosomal RNA is filed under the name uncultured bacterium. RNAcentral describes it as "partial 16S ribosomal RNA". It matches the Rfam family "Bacterial small subunit ribosomal RNA", at positions 30 to 523 of the family's 1533-position model. The record is from RNAcentral.